This 485-nucleotide ribosomal RNA is filed under the name Fusarium acuminatum. RNAcentral's name for it is "eukaryotic LSU rRNA". It matches the Rfam family "Eukaryotic large subunit ribosomal RNA", at positions 116 to 624 of the family's 3401-position model. The record is from RNAcentral. RNAcentral also lists the same sequence under 2 other names. Lineage: Eukaryota; Fungi; Ascomycota; Sordariomycetes; Hypocreales; Nectriaceae.
UGAAAUCUGGCUCUCGGGCCCGAGUUGUAAUUUGUAGAGGAUGACUUUGAUGCGGUGCCUUCCGAGUUCCCUGGAACGGGACGCCAUAGAGGGUGAGAGCCCCGUCUGGUUGGAUGCCAAAUCUCUGUAAGUCUCCUUCGACGAGUCGAGUAGUUUGGGAAUGCUGCUCUAAAUGGGAGGUAUAUGUCUUCUAAAGCUAAAUACCGGCCAGAGACCGAUAGCGCACAAGUAGAGUGAUCGAAAGAUGAAAAGCACUUUGAAAAGAGAGUUAAAAAGUACGUGAAAUUGUUGAAAGGGAAGCGUUUAUGACCAGACUUGGGCUUGGUUAAUCAUCUGGGGUUCUCCCCAGUGCACUUUUCCAGUCCAGGCCAGCAUCAGUUUUCGCCGGGGGAUAAAGGCUUCGGGAAUGUGGCUCCCCUCGGGGAGUGUUAUAGCCCGUUGUGUAAUACCCUGGCGGGGACUGAGGUUCGCGCUUCUGCAAGGAU